Choloepus didactylus (southern two-toed sloth) is the source of this 610-nucleotide long non-coding RNA. RefSeq lists it as uncharacterized. Lineage: Eukaryota; Metazoa; Chordata; Mammalia; Pilosa; Megalonychidae. The record is from RefSeq and is a predicted model, not a curated record. The transcript is spliced from 3 exons.
GAUCCGGUUCCCGGGCUGCCUCCUUCCCGGGCCGUGCGGGGAGUGGGCCCGAUGACCUUGCUCCGGCUCCGGGAGCCCCAGGUCCAGUCCUGCCCUUUCCCGGGAAAGACGGAUCCCUUGCUGAGGCCCUGCGCUCUAGAGGGCCCCCUAAUCACAAGCACUGAGACGCCAAGACUCCCCGCCCCUCCCUCUUUGGUCCCAUGGGUGGUCACAGGGCCAAGCCUCGAGCUGCUGCGGAGCUGGUGUCCUGAUAUAUGGGAAGCCGCUGCUGGGGGGCCCUGCCCGCAUCUCGCCCGUCAUCACUCCUGGGGCCUUCGAACCCGCGGGCCCAUGCUUCAUGCCCCGGCCAGAAGGAGCUUUCUAGAGCAAAUGCGAUGAGUUAAGUUCUGGCCAACUGAAUCAUGAUGAGUCGUAAUCCUACUACCACAGAUCUAUUACAAAGAGAAAGUCACGGAAGGGGCAGAAGCUGGAAGUCAGCAGGAACCUGGCAGAGAAAGGAGAUGGCAUCACCCCGUGAUGGGAAAGCCAAGGAACCCCAAGGAAUGCCGGCCAGCCAGAGGCUGCCUGGGAGGAAACGAGCCUGAUCAUCUCUGAAACCAUGAGCCAAUAA